ACGGGAGGCAGCAGUGGGGAAUCUUGGACAAUGGGGGCAACCCUGAUCCAGCCAUGCCGCGUGAGUGAAGAAGGCCCUAGGGUCGUAAAACUCUUUCGCCUGUGAUGAUAAUGACAGUAGCAGGUAAAGAAACCCCGGCUAACUCCGUGCCAGCAGCCGCGGUAAUACGGAGGGGGUUAGCGUUGUUCGGAAUUACUGGGCGUAAAGCGCACGUAGGCGGAUUAGAAAGUUAGAGGUGAAAUCCCGGGGCUCAACCCCGGAACUGCCUUUAAAACUACUAGUCUAGAGUUCGAGAGAGGUGAGUGGAAUUCCGAGUGUAGAGGUGAAAUUCGUAGAUAUUCGGAGGAACACCAGUGGCGAAGGCGGCUCACUGGCUCGAUACUGACGCUGAGGUGCGAAAGUGUGGGGAGCAAACAGGAUUAGAUACCCUGGUAGUCCACACCGUAAACGAUGAAUGCCAGUCGUCGGGUAGUAUACUAUUCGGUGACACACCUAACGGAUUAAGCAUUCCGCCUGGGGAGUACGGUCGCAAGAUUAAAACUCAAAGGAAUUGACGG
Molecule: ribosomal RNA, 557 nt
Filed under: uncultured bacterium
Lineage: Bacteria
Description: bacterial SSU rRNA
Rfam family: Bacterial small subunit ribosomal RNA
Source: RNAcentral